GAUCACCCGCAGUCAUCAUCGCCCUUUCUCUCUCAACUCUCUCAACUAAACCCUAGUUUUCAAGCACCGUUACUGGCAUAUAUCUUAGUCUUGUGAUGUUUCCUUGUCUUCUUUGGCUGACCCUGGCCUAUUAUACGCCAUGGCUCUUUGAUUCCUUGGAUACUUGAGAAGAUCUCUAAGAACCCAAACAGUUCUGGGUUGAAACCCUGCUUGUCAGCCUGUCUCAGACCAUUUUAUCGACUGUGAGUGAGAACUUCUCUUUAUUUUGUUAUGAAUCUAUGGUUUCUAAACCUAUGCUCUCAUCUAUGUUAUAUUUACCCAAAAACCCCUAGUAUAUUACCUUCGAUCAUUUCCAGAUCUUUAUAGAUCUGAGAUGAAUCGAGCACUAUUGCAUGUUUUUCUCUGAAAAUUUCUAGUUUUAAUCGAUUAUUCUAGAGUUUCCCU
This 444-nucleotide long non-coding RNA is filed under the name Nicotiana benthamiana. RNAcentral's name for it is "long non-coding RNA (NBEN_LNC039281)". Lineage: Eukaryota; Viridiplantae; Streptophyta; Magnoliopsida; Solanales; Solanaceae. The record is from RNAcentral.